This 1326-nucleotide long non-coding RNA is filed under the name Helianthus annuus (common sunflower). The record is from RNAcentral. Lineage: Eukaryota; Viridiplantae; Streptophyta; Magnoliopsida; Asterales; Asteraceae.
GAAGGAUAAAAGAGUCAUUCUCACACACUAAAAACCCUUCCCUGACCUCAAGACCCUAAUCGACACAACCCCCUCCUUUAAUUACCUCGCUAUUCAAUUCUACAACUCAAUCGCUCAACUAUCGGUCUUCUCUCAGCCCUCUCUAUAUUCUUUCUUCUUGAUGUACGCCUCCCCUCUGUCUAUGAUAUCGGUUUGGAAGUUCAUGUAGUGGCGCUCAGUUUUUGGUGGAACGCAACCAAGACUCAGGUGAUGAUUGCCAUUCGAACACACAUUAAAGACAGGUCCUGUGGGUGAAUCGGGGAGAAGGGAGAUGGCAGAAGCCCUAGCCGCCGUCGGAUGGUUCCGGUUGAUACAUCUUGAUCUACUAGCAUUCUCUUUAUGGAUGUAAAAAUGGGUUACCAGAAUCCAGAAUUAGGUCUUGAUUGAAGCGAAAGUAACAAUUUUGCACGGAAAUUGGGGAUUUUUAUAAGUUAGUGUAGCUGUUGAGGAUUCUAGGGUUUGUGAGAGGUGUGUAUAAAAUUGCGAAGGAAGAUGUUUUAUUCGCAGUUUAUAUUAGCAAAAAAGGGUCCGUUAGGGACGAUAUGGAUAGCGGCGCAUCUCGAGAGGAAGCUUAGGAAAAAUCAGGUUGCUGAUACUGAUAUUGGUGUCUCUGUAGGUUGCUUGUGGGUUCGGAUUUGUGGUUUUCGCUGACCCGGUGGUUGCUGAAAGAGUUGUGAAAGAUAAGCAUAUCAUAGAUGGUAGCGAUGUGGAGGGGAAGGCGGUUUCAACGGAUGAUCAAACAAGUUGUUAACUGGAAGAACGGUAGUGUCCAAUUCUUGGCGUUUUUUUCCCGGGUAUGCUUUGUUCCAACUUCAUAGGAAAUUUUGCAAAAGAAUUCAUGGGUGGGGUCAGACGAUUGACAAAGUUUGUCACUCAGCAUUAACGAGUUUUUGAAACCUGCUGCUGGUGAAAGAAACUACACCCCUUGGCGGGAGUGGAGGCCAUAAAGGAGGUAGACGUUACAACCAAGGUUCUGCAAGCCAUGCCCCUAAAGCCCCAAAAAUUGAAGACUUGCGUCACUUUUCUACUUUAGGUGGCAGGGGAAUUAUUCUUCUCGCCAUGCUGACACGUCAUCAACUUUUCAACACUUUUACUGAUGGCAGAAGUAAUCAUAUUAGCAUAACCGAGUCCUAUUUAUUCGCAAAUGUCUCAGAAAUGUAAAUUUCUUUUUCUUUCAUGUUCUUUUCUGCAUUUGUCAGCGUCUUUUAUUUAGAAAUGCUUUGGAUUUUUUCCUAAUUUUUAAAGGAUUUUAGCGUAAUAGUUCUAUUUUUUUUUUUUUUGGAGUAG